GACGGAGGGGGCAAGCGUUAUCCGGAAUUAUUGGGCGUAAAGCGUCCGCAGGUGGCGAUUUAAGUCUGCUGUCAAAGACCACAGCUUAACUGUGGGCAGGCAGUUGAAACUGGAUUGCUAGAGUGCGGCAGGGGUAGAGGGAAUUCCCAGUGUAGCGGUGAAAUGCGUAGAUAUUGGGAAGAACACCAGUGGCGAAGGCGCUCUACUGGGCCGCAACUGACACUCAUGGACGAAAGCUAGGGGAGCGAAUGGG
RNAcentral lists this ribosomal RNA (253 nucleotides) under uncultured bacterium. RNAcentral describes it as "partial 16S ribosomal RNA". It matches the Rfam family "Bacterial small subunit ribosomal RNA", at positions 524 to 776 of the family's 1533-position model. The record is from RNAcentral.